AGGUCACGCACAGAGCUGACCCGGAUAAAGAUUUGAACCACGUUGUUUUGUUUUUGUCAGCGCCAGCUAGCCAACAUUUCGCUUUGAAUCCCCUAACUAAUCAUUCUUCAGCCAUUGGGAAGUAAUUUGCUAAUUGUAAGUGCAUGAAAGAUUUUCCAUCCCGCAUCGAAGUCAAAUAUAAAAAAAACUGUUGAUGGGAGAUGAUCGUGUGAAGAAUGGUCUCAACUUCAUGUAUGAAGCUCCAUCUGGGGCAGACAAAGGAAGGAGAAUCAGAAUACAAGUUUGAGUGGCAAAAGACGUCCCCUCGAGAAGUGCGCAAUGUGAGAUGCAUCAUGUGUCACAAAUAGGGCCAUGUGAAUACAGACAGUGGCCUGUCUGGGAUCAAUGCCAGCGCUGCGCCCACAGAGAAAGCAGGUCCGUCGAUGCACCCCUCCGAGUUAAUGGCAGAGAUGUGAAACAGUGGGUUUGCCCUGAAGAAAUGUGUCCUUGGAAGAAAUUCUACUGUUUGUGAUCCAUCGCAGGAGUAUGUUGUCAAUGAAGAAGAGGAGGAUCCUGAGGUUGAAUUCCUGAAGUCGUUGACCACUAAACAGAAAGAGAAGCUCCUCAGGAAUCUUGACCGUCUACAAAAGAAGAGUGAAGGAAAUCAGAAGAAGAACUGUGAUAGUAGUGACAGCUCUAAUGAAAGUAGCAGGAGUGACUCAGACUGACAGCUCUAGUGAAAGUAGCAGCAGUGACAGACUGACAGCUCUAGUGAAAGUAGCAGCAGUGACUCAGACUGACAGCUCUAGUGAAAGUAGCAGGAGUGACAGACUGACAGCUCUAGUGAAAGUAGCAGCAGUGACAGGACUGACAGCUCUAGUGAAAGGUAGCAGCAGUGACUGACUGACAGCUCUAGUGAAAGUAGCAGCAGUGACUGACUGACAGCUCUAGUGAAAGUAGCAGCAGUGACUGACUGACAGCUUCCAGUGAAAGUAGCAGGAGUGACAGACUGACAGCUCUAGUGAAAGUAGCAGGAGUGACAGACUGACAGCUCCAGUGAAAGUAGCAGCAGUGACUCAGACUGACAGCUCUAGUGAAAGUAGCAGCAGUGACAGACUGACAGCUCUAGUGUGAAAGUAGCAGCAGUGACUCAGACUGGACAGCUCUAGUGAAAGUAGCAGCAGGACUGACUGACAGCUCUAGUGAAAGUAGCAGCAGUGACUGACUGACAGCUCUAGUGAAAGUAGCAGCAGUGACUGACUGACAGCUCCAGUGAAAGUAGCAGCAGUGACUAAGAGUCAGAAGAGAAAGAAGAAGGGCAAGAGAAAGGACUCCUGUCGUGAUGACAACACUGAGAGUGAUGGAUGAGUCAAGAGUAAGACCAGGCCCAACCUCCAGACAGAAACAGCUCAAAGAUGAUACCAUAGAGGAGAAAGAAACAGUAGAGAUGAGCCACGACAGCAGGGAGAGGCAGAGAACCAGCAGCAGCUCCCAGCCUGGCCCAGAUAGAAGCAGAAGGAGAGAGAUAUAAAGACAAGGUUCACAGUAGAGAUGAGGCAAACGGUAGAAGAGAGAUAGAUAGAAGUAGUAGCAGAGAUGGAGCAAAGAAUAAAGCAGCCGCAAAGCGAGGAGUAGGAUCCUCUAUGGAGGGAGGGAGAGAGAGGGGAGGAGUAGGAUCCUAGAUGGAGGGAGGGGAGGGAGAAUGAGAAAAGAGCCAGAGGGAGAGCUGAGAGAAAGCACUGAACUGUGAGAGUAGACAAUCUUACAAAGUGGGCCAGUGAUACCAUUUUAUUUUGCUGAUGUAAACAUUUUUGACACGAAAGUGUAAUGUUUUGAAGGUUUUAUGAUGCUAUUGUUAAUAUGUACAUUUUUCUUGGUGGGCCCACUUAUUAAACAAACACAUAGAAACCAAAGUUUUAGUAACACCAUGUUUUGGUGUUGCUUGCUAGUUGGCUGCCACGGUAAAGUGAGUGCAGGGGCGUAUUCAUUAUGCCGAUUCUGUUGCAAAAUGUUGAGCAGAAGCAAACGGAAUGAAACGGGAAGGGGCCUAGCUGAAUUUGACCAAUAGAAACUGUUCAAAAUGUUCCAUUUUGCUACUGUUAGGACUAGUGAUUACACCCCUGCUCCUCAAAUAGUUCUUAUUUUCAUCCACUAGAGGGCAGCAGUAGACCUAAAAUAACUUGAACCACAGAAAUAUUUUGCAUUUCUCAGAUUAUUGAACAAAUGAAUGUCUUGCAUGCACUAUUAUUCAUGGUUGUCACUUUAGUCCAGAGAACCAUCUUCACAAUACUAUAAAAAAAUAUUAUUGCAACUCGAACUUUAAAAAUAGUAAACUGUGCUCACAUGGUUGUGACCGUUCUUCAUUACAUGUGUUACAAGUCUAGCUUAAUUAUGUAGGCUUGUUUCAAAGUGGUCUUCUGGAAGUGGCCUAAGCGGGAGCAUGGUUGACUAAUGACAAUCAAUCUAUGAUUGUUCAUUAUGCCAUGCAUACGAUUAGGUCUGCGUAAGUGAUUAGUGUGGAGACAUCAAGUUUGUUUCAAAUAUUUAAUACUGAAUACUUAAUUCUGAAUCGAGAUCAAUGCAUGGAACUGUACUCUUUCUGCAAAACCCAGUGCAUGAUUUACGCAACAUUGCGCGCCUAUCGGCCUUUAGAGAUUACUUGUUGCAUUACUUGCAUGACAUUAUCAUCAUGAUGGACAAAACAGAAGAAACGAUGAGGUCAUCGGGGUUCAUUUGACAUUGAACUGUGUAACAUACGACUUCCUAUUUGUUUUGGAGCCAUAUAUUUUAUGGCAAAGAAAUAACAAUAACUCCUGUGUCGAUAUGAUUUGUUAAGAAUUCCUGAUCAGGAAAAUUAAAAUCGAGAAUUUCUUGCAUGUUUUAUUUUA
Salvelinus sp. IW2-2015 is the source of this 2867-nucleotide non-coding RNA. The record is from RefSeq and is a predicted model, not a curated record. Lineage: Eukaryota; Metazoa; Chordata; Actinopteri; Salmoniformes; Salmonidae.